CGUAGGGCGCGAGCGUUGUCCGGAUUUAUUGGGCGUAAAGAGCUCGUAGGCGGCUUGUCGCGUCGUCCGUGAAAACCUGCAGCUCAACUGCAGGCUUGCGGUCGAUACGGGCAGGCUAGAGUUCGGUAGGGGAGACUGGAAUUCCUGGUGUAGCGGUGAAAUGCGCAGAUAUCAGGAGGAACACCGGUGGCGAAGGCGGGUCCCUGGGCCGAUACUGACGCUGAGGAGCGAAAGCGUGGGGAGCGAACAGGAUUAGAUACCCUGGUAGUCCACGCUGUAAACGUUGGGCGCUAGGUGUGGGGGGCCUCUCCGGUUCUCUGUGCCGCAGCUAACGCAUUAAGCGCCCCGCCUGGGGAGUACGGCCGCAAGGCUA
Molecule: ribosomal RNA, 373 nt
Filed under: uncultured organism
Description: bacterial SSU rRNA
Rfam family: Bacterial small subunit ribosomal RNA
Source: RNAcentral